Molecule: ribosomal RNA, 595 nt
Filed under: Salmonella enterica subsp. enterica serovar Weltevreden
Lineage: Bacteria; Pseudomonadati; Pseudomonadota; Gammaproteobacteria; Enterobacterales; Enterobacteriaceae
Description: partial 23S ribosomal RNA
Rfam family: Bacterial large subunit ribosomal RNA
Source: RNAcentral
GCCAGUCUGCAUGGAGCCGACCUUGAAAUACCACCCUUUAAUGUUUGAUGUUCUAACGUGGACCCGUAAUCCGGGUUGCGGACAGUGUCUGGUGGGUAGUUUGACUGGGGCGGUCUCCUCCUAAAGAGUAACGGAGGAGCACGAAGGUUGGCUAAUCCUGGUCGGACAUCAGGAGGUUAGUGCAAUGGCAUAAGCCAGCUUGACUGCGAGCGUGACGGCGCGAGCAGGUGCGAAAGCAGGUCAUAGUGAUCCGGUGGUUCUGAAUGGAAGGGCCAUCGCUCAACGGAUAAAAGGUACUCCGGGGAUAACAGGCUGAUACCGCCCAAGAGUUCAUAUCGACGGCGGUGUUUGGCACCUCGAUGUCGGCUCAUCACAUCCUGGGGCUGAAGUAGGUCCCAAGGGUAUGGCUGUUCGCCAUUUAAAGUGGUACGCGAGCUGGGUUUAGAACGUCGUGAGACAGUUCGGUCCCUAUCUGCCGUGGGCGCUGGAGAACUGAGGGGGGCUGCUCCUAGUACGAGAGGACCGGAGUGGACGCAUCACUGGUGUUCGGGUUGUCAUGCCAAUGGCACUGCCCGGUAGCUAAAUGCGGAAGAGA